RNAcentral lists this ribosomal RNA (837 nucleotides) under Cumuliphoma pneumoniae. RNAcentral's name for it is "partial large subunit ribosomal RNA". It matches the Rfam family "Eukaryotic large subunit ribosomal RNA", at positions 68 to 923 of the family's 3401-position model. Lineage: Eukaryota; Fungi; Ascomycota; Dothideomycetes; Pleosporales; Didymellaceae. The record is from RNAcentral.
ACAGGGAUUGCCCUAGUAACGGCGAGUGAAGCGGCAACAGCUCAAAUUUGAAAUCUGGCGUCUUCGGCGUCCGAGUUGUAAUUUGCAGAGGGCGCUUUGGCAUUGGCAGCGGUCCAAGUUCCUUGGAACAGGACGUCACAGAGGGUGAGAAUCCCGUACGUGGUCGCUAGCCUUUACCGUGUAAAGCCCCUUCGACGAGUCGAGUUGUUUGGGAAUGCAGCUCUAAAUGGGAGGUAAAUUUCUUCUAAAGCUAAAUACUGGCCAGAGACCGAUAGCGCACAAGUAGAGUGAUCGAAAGAUGAAAAGCACUUUGGAAAGAGAGUUAAAAAGCACGUGAAAUUGUUGAAAGGGAAGCGCUUGCAGCCAGACUUGCCUGUAGUUGCUCAUCCGGGUUUCUACCCGGUGCACUCUUCUAUAGGCAGGCCAGCAUCAGUUUGGGCGGUUGGAUAAAGGUCUCUGUCAUGUACCUCUCUUCGGGGAGAACUUAUAGGGGAGACGACAUGCAACCAGCCCGGACUGAGGUCCGCGCAUCUGCUAGGAUGCUGGCGUAAUGGCUGUAAGCGGCCCGUCUUGAAACACGGACCAAGGAGUCUAACAUCUAUGCGAGUGUUUGGGUGUCAAGCCCGAGCGCGUAAUGAAAGUGAACGGAGGUGGGAACCUUUCGGGGUGCACCAUCGACCGAUCCUGAUGUCUUCGGAUGGAUUUGAGUAAGAGCAUAGCUGUUGGGACCCGAAAGAUGGUGAACUAUGCUUGAAUAGGGUGAAGCCAGAGGAAACUCUGGUGGAGGCUCGCAGCGGUUCUGACGUGCAAAUCGAUCGUCAAAUUUGGGCAUAGGGC